This 236-nucleotide long non-coding RNA is filed under the name Elaeis guineensis (African oil palm). RNAcentral describes it as "long non-coding RNA (EGUI_LNC070595)". The record is from RNAcentral. Lineage: Eukaryota; Viridiplantae; Streptophyta; Magnoliopsida; Arecales; Arecaceae.
GCUUGGACUCUUCAUUUUCGAUUUGAUUCUAAACUAGUUCAAAAUUAGUUUGAACCCAAUGAUAGGAAUGAACCUAAUCUAAUUAAAAACCCAACCAUCUCAAUAAAUUUCUAACCCAAUUAGAAAUUAAUUGAGCCCAAGUCUUGAUCAAAUCAGGAAUAAGUUUUUCUUGUAAUUAGGCUUAAUUAAAUCAAACUCAAUCUAAAUCAAACUGAAUCCAAUUCAAUUAGACUUGA